RNAcentral lists this ribosomal RNA (468 nucleotides) under uncultured bacterium. RNAcentral describes it as "partial 16S ribosomal RNA". It matches the Rfam family "Bacterial small subunit ribosomal RNA", at positions 28 to 507 of the family's 1533-position model. The record is from RNAcentral.
GACGAACGCUGGCGGCGUGCUUAACACAUGCAAGUCGAACGGAAAGGCCCUGCGUUUGUGGGGUACUCGAGUGGCGAACGGGUGAGUAACACGUGAGUAACCUGCCCUUGACUUUGGGAUAACUUCAGGAAACAGGGGCUAAUACCGGAUAGGAGCUCCUGCUGCAUGGAGGGGGUUGGAAAGAUUCGGCGGUUGGGGAUGGCCUCGCGGCUUAUCAGCUUGUUGGUGGGGUAGUGGCUUACCAAGGCUUUGACGGGUAGCCGGCCUGAGAGGGUGGCCGGCCUCAUUGGGCCUGGGAUACGGCCCAGACUCCUACGGGUGGCAGUAGUGGGAACUAUUGCACACUGGGCCGAAGCCUGAUGAAGCAACGCCGCGUCCGGGAUGAAGGCCUUCGGGUUGUAAACCGCUUUCGCCUGUGACGAAGCGUGAGUGACGGUAAUGGGUAAAGAAGCACCGGCUAACUACGUG